GUCAUUUAGAAAACUGUUCCGUACCUGAGCAAUCUGUGAAAGUUUUCUUAAAAGGACCAGAUGCUGAAAGCCACAGUACUCUUUAGAAAGCUCACUCACAGGGCCAGUGAGAUGGCUUAGCAGUCUUGAAAAUAUGACAUUGGACGCGAGUUAUGAAUCACAUCCUGCUUCAACAAACCUUUGACGAGAUGAGACGUUGUAGAAAACAGCUUCACCAUGUGAGGGCCUAAUGUGCAGCUUGCUGUCAAUCAUUCCCGGAGACCAGAGCCAUGUGCCUUCCAGCAAAGCUUCUAUCUUUUCAAGAGCUCUGAGCUACUCUCGCUCUGCAUCCACUCCUGGGAUACCUGCUAGCCCUCAGGUCGACACCCUCAACUUCUGGGGCCCCAGGAGUGUGGGAUUCAGAGAGGCCAGUUCACUGAAGACCCAGCUCCACUGCCGGGAUGCCUUGCCUUUCUGAGGACAUGGUCCCUGUCUAAUGUCUCGUGGAACUGGUGCUUAUGACCCUGCCAAGCAUUCUAGAAGCCCACAGCCACGGGACAGGACUCUAGUGGAAAAGCAGUGCCCUGCAUGUUUGCUUGUCUGUCUGUCUUUGAGACAGGGUCUCCUGUCACCCAGGCUGGUCUUGAAUUCACUAUGCAGCUCUGAAUGAUCUUGAUCCUCCUGCCUCAGCCUCCCGAGUGUUGGGAUGGCUGGUGUGUUUUCUAAAGCAAGAAUAUUUCUCUACAGACUCGAGCAUACAUUCAGAGCGUGAGACUGGAUCCUGAUUGCAUCCUGUUAUUAGGCCUGUAGACCUCACCCUGUUUGUGCCUGCCCAUCAUUGCCCAGCCGCCCCUCUCUGGCUCCUCUGACAGGAAGUUGCUCUCGAGUCUUUAUAUUCAGUCUUUCACGAAGCACAUGUCAGCUGCUUCGCAAAAUGUCAAAGAUCCCCUUGAAAAUAAAUCGAUUUUUAUUUUA
Molecule: non-coding RNA, 954 nt
Organism: Peromyscus maniculatus bairdii (prairie deer mouse)
Lineage: Eukaryota; Metazoa; Chordata; Mammalia; Rodentia; Cricetidae
Source: RefSeq, a predicted model, not a curated record